AUGGACGCCCAGAACAAGGAGGUGGACGCCCUGGUCCAGAAGAUCACCGGCCUCCACGCCGCCAUCGCCAAGCUGCCCUCGCUCAGCCCGUGCCCCGCCGUCGACGCGCUCUUCACCGACCUCGUCACCGCGUGCGUCCCCCCGAGCCCCGUGGACGUGACCGAGCUCGGCCCGGAGGCGCAGGCGAUGCGCGAGGGCCUCAUCCGCCUCUGCUCCGAGGCCGAGGGGAAGCUGGAGGCGCACUACUCCGACAUGCUCGCCGCCUUCGACAACCCGCUCGACCACCUCGGCGUCUUCCCUUACUACAGCAACUACAUCAACCUCAGCAAGCUGGAGUACGAGCUCCUGUCGCGCUACGUGCCCGGCGGCAUCGCCCCGGCCCGUGUCGCCUUCAUCGGCUCCGGCCCGCUGCCGUUCAGCUCCUACGUCCUCGCCGCGCGCCACCUGCCCGACACGGUGUUCGACAACUACGACCUGUGCGGCGCGGCCAACGCCCGCGCGAGCAGGCUGUUCCGCGCGGACAGGGACGUGGGCGCCCGCAUGUCGUUCCACACCGCCGACGUCGCGGACCUCACCGACGUGCUCGCUACGUAUGAUGUCGUCUUCCUGGCCGCGCUCGUGGGCAUGGCGGCCGAGGACAAGGCCAAGGUGAUCGCGCACCUUGGCGCGCACAUGGCGGACGGGGCGGCCCUCGUCGUGCGCAGCGCGCACGGGGCGCGUGGGUUCCUGUACCCGAUCGUCGAUCCCCAGGACAUCGGCCGAGGCGGGUUCGAGGUGCUCGCCGUGUGUCACCCAGACGACGACGUGGUGAACUCCGUCAUCAUCGCGCAAAAGACCAACGACGUGCAUGAGUAUGGACUUGGCAACGGGCGUGGUGGACGGUACGCGCGGGGCACGGUGCCGGUGGUCAGCCCGCCCUGCAGGUUCGGCGAGAUGGUGGCGGACGUGACCCAGAAGAGAGAGGAGUUUGCCAACGCGGAACUGGCCUUCUGA
Molecule: ribosomal RNA, 993 nt
Filed under: Triticum aestivum (bread wheat)
Lineage: Eukaryota; Viridiplantae; Streptophyta; Magnoliopsida; Poales; Poaceae
Description: partial small subunit ribosomal RNA
Source: RNAcentral